Girardinichthys multiradiatus is the source of this 3108-nucleotide long non-coding RNA. RefSeq lists it as uncharacterized. The transcript has 4 exons. The record is from RefSeq and is a predicted model, not a curated record. NCBI's taxonomy places the organism in Eukaryota, Metazoa, Chordata, Actinopteri, Cyprinodontiformes, Goodeidae.
GACUGACACAUGCGCAGUGUCGUCUGCAGAUAUUUGGACGUUGGUCGUCUUCUUGUUCUUAUUGAAGGCUUUUAAAGGAGGUAGAUGUUGGACCAGCUCCUCCUUCUUCCGUGAAGCCGUCGCAGCGAGACCUCGAUUCAACCCUGAGUUUCUCUCGACUAGAAAUAGUUAGUCGGCCUAAACUAGAGUCAGAGUUCCUCUCUAACCCUAAAGUAGAUCUAACAGAGUUUAUUACUAAAGUUAAACUCUGAUCUUUGUUGAGUAUUACACUAAACUCAGGGUUAAACUCAUUGAGGAAUUUCAAUGAGGAAAUGGCUGCUUUUUUACCUGCGUCACUCAUCAGGACUCUGCUGUUUCUCAGCUGCUUCCUGCUUGUUUCUGCUGGUAAGUUUAAUCUUUGAUAAUAAGAAGAAUAAUGUUUUUUUUUCAUGUGAGAUGAGAUUUAAAAAUAUUUCCUGUUCCUGUUAAUUUUGGAGAGAAAUUGUUUUAAGUUUGUUCAGGUCUCACAUAUAAUUUAAAUCAACUGUGCUUCAUUAUCUGAAAACUUUGUGUUAUUCUCUAUUCUAAUGUAUUUUGGUUCUGUUCCCUGUUUGGACCAGUUACCUCUUAUAAACUGGGACAGAUUAGGACCCCAUUAACCCACAGUAACUCUGAGUCUCUGUUAGAUGAUAUUUAUUGGAUUCAUUAAACCACAUUUCCUCACAGUAGAGACUAUGAGUAGAAAAUAGUGAAUCCUAAACGUCUCCUUGGUUAAAACCAACACAUGGUCCAUAUGAGGCGUCCUGCAGUAAAUAAUCAACUAAAACUGAGAAUGAGACAAAGUGACCAGCAGGCGUGUGAAGGUCCAACCAGCUGCUCUGCUGUAGUUCCUAGUAAACAUGGACCCAUAUGAGAUUCUCAUGAUUAAAUCUGAUGUUGAUCAGCUGAUAAUUAUCUGAAACUUUAUAUCAGAGAAGAACCAAUCAAUCAAUCAGCCAGAGAUGAAGCUGAGAGGUUUUACUCUUCUCUGGUCUGGGAGAGGUCAAAGGUCAGGUGAGGCCUGGGGGCCAUAAAAGGUCAAGAUCUGGUUUCAACUAUAAAUAGACAAUAAUUAUAAUGUUUUAAUCAACUAUUGCAGGGAUGUCAAACUCCAGUCCUUGAGGGUCAGUGUCCUGCAACUUUUCUAUGUGUCCCUGGUCCAGCACCUGGAUCAAAAUAGCUGGAUUACCUCCACAGUAUGCACUCAAGUUCUCCAGAGUCCUGCUAAUGACCUAAAUAUUAGACUCAGGUGUGUUGAAGCAGGGACACAUCUAAACGUUUCAGGACACCGGCCCUCGAGGACUGGAGUUAGACUCCUCUGAACUAGAGUCUGUUUCUAAAGCAGCAUUAGACAGUAAAUUAUUAAUCUUCUUAUUCUGAAUGUGCAGCUUUAACAUCUCUGCUCUGUGAUGUUUCCUCUCCUGCAGGUCAGAAAAACAUCACAGCUGAACCUGGAGAAGACGUCAUUCUGCCUUGUAGACCAGCUGAGAAGAAAGAUGUUCUAGUUGUAGAGUGGAUCAGAACUGAUCUGGGGUCAGAUCAGUUUGUUCUUUUAAACAGAUCCAAGCAGUUUGAUCCAGAGGGUCAAUUUCCAUCCUUUAAGAACCGGGUGGAUCUGCAGGACGUGAAGAAUGGAGACGUGUCUUUGGUUCUGAAGAACGUGACGACUGAUGAUACAGGAACAUAUGAGUGUCGAGUCGCUCAGAAAGGAAAUGAUCGCAUGAAGACAUCCAUUCAGGACACUGACCCCAUCAGCAUUAUUGACCUGAUAGUUCAAGGAAAGAAGGAUGAACUAAAAGAAGAUGGAGGAAAAGAGGACAGACAACAGGAGGAUGGAGGAGAGAAGAAUGGAAGGAACAGGACUGGACUGAUAGCUGGUCUCUCUGUUCUUGGUAUUAUUAUUGUUGUUGUUGUGGUUCUGGUUCUACGUAGAAGGUAGAGACCUUCAUCACCAGAACCUAACCCACCUCCAGCAACAGAAGCUGAACUCGAGCAAAUUACAACAGAACUAUAAAAGUGUGAUAAUUCAUGACAACCUGAGAGAUGAUUUCAACACAUCAACAUGAAGGAUAAAACUGAUUUCUGCCUGAUUGUGUUUCUCUGUUCCAGUCAGAUUCCUUCAGUUCAGACUCAGUACUGACUCCAGUAUUACCAGAACCUUGGAUACACUCAGAUUCACUGUGAAACAUUUCUUCUAAACCUUCUAUUUUAUCAGGUUUUUUUUUUGCCUUCAUCAAUAUUUAAACCGGAGCAGAAUUUGAUGAACAAUAAAGUUUGCAGUUCUCAGACAAAGAAAUGAUCAUUUAUGUUUACUAUAAGAUGAGUGAAGGUCAGUCAGACAGUCGUCAGUCUUAAUAUUUCAUCUAAAUUGAUGUAAAUCAUCUGGAACAGAACCUGAAAUGCUGAUCAAACCCAGAACUGAACAACGGUUCUUUAACUCUGGUCAGAACUUUGCUGCUGCUCUAUGAUCCAGCUGACUGAUCAACAGAACACAUCUCAUUAUCACUUUAUUCAUUUACGUUCAGUCAUUUGUUAUAAUAAACCAGGACAGAUUGCUUCAGAUUGUGAUUAUUCUGGUUUAACAAUGUGCAGAAUUUACUGGUCAGUUUCAUCAUAUUUAUGAUGUCAUAGAAACUGAACAAAUAGACGUAACAUUAGAUCUCAAAGUGAAUCGUCUCAGGCUGCUGUUUACUUAGACGACAGAGAACUACAACAUCUCUCAGUGUAUGUAUGUAUGCUGACGACACACAGAUCUGAAAUCAAGCAGACAUCUGCAGCUCUUCUGCUGCUGCUGUCUUUUAGUUUUUAUGAUUCUCAGAUCUGGAAGAAACUGCAUGAAAACCUGAGAUGAACAGAAACUGUUGGUUCCUUUAAAUAGUGACUGAAAAUAUUUUUGCUCUUGAUUAAAGAGAAUAAAAUAUUCAUCUGAUCACAGAUUAAGUGUUUAAAAAACAUUUAAAUCGCCUGAUCCAUGAAGGAUGUUAUUAAAUAAACGUUCCUUUCCUAAUAAUUUCAAGUUGCAAAGUUGUCCAUGUUGUUUCUUUGUAAACAUAAUCUGCUUGUAAUAAAAUGGAUUAAGUCUCAAAAUAA